AACAUGGCUUUAUUUAAAGCCAACUUUUCUGAAAUAUAAAAACUA
This is a non-coding RNA of Rattus norvegicus (Norway rat), 45 nucleotides long. Lineage: Eukaryota; Metazoa; Chordata; Mammalia; Rodentia; Muridae. The record is from Rfam.